GACGAACGCUGGCGGCGUGCUUAACACAUGCAAGUCGAACGGAAAGGCCCUGCUUUUGUGGGGUGCUCGAGUGGCGAACGGGUGAGUAACACUUGAGUAACCUGCCCUUGACUUUGGGAUAACUUCAGGAAACUGGGGCUAAUACCGGAUAGGUGCUCCUGCUGCAUGGUGGGGGUUGGAAAGUUUCGGCGGGUGGGGAUGGACUCGGGGCUUAUCAGCUUGUUGGGGGGGUAGUGGCUUACCAAAGCUUUGACGGGUAGCCGGCCUGGGAGGGUGACCGGACAAAUUGGGACGGGGAUAAGGCCCAGACUAGAAUGGGAGGCAGCGGAGGGGAAGAUAGCACAAUGGGCGGAAGGCUGAUGCAGCAAAGCCGCGUGGGGGAUGACGGGCUUGGGGUUGUAAACCGAUUUCGCCUGUGACGAAGAGUGAGUGACGGUAAUGGGUAAAGAAGCACCGGCUAACUACGUG
RNAcentral lists this ribosomal RNA (468 nucleotides) under uncultured bacterium. RNAcentral's name for it is "partial 16S ribosomal RNA". It matches the Rfam family "Bacterial small subunit ribosomal RNA", at positions 28 to 507 of the family's 1533-position model. The record is from RNAcentral.